UUAACUAUUAUAUAGUACUCAGACGACACUGACAUUCAGAGUUUGCGGAGCCUCUGGCGGGCGCGCGCCAGCCGGAGCCGGCGGACGGGCAGGGCCCGGCGGCCCGCCAAAGCAACACAGUAUCAAUCACAGUGGGUGGGAGAUCUACCCGGAGGGGCGAGAACUCUGUAAUGAUCCCUCCGCAGGUUCACCUACGGAGA
RNAcentral lists this unclassified non-coding RNA (200 nucleotides) under uncultured fungus. Its description in RNAcentral is "sequence contains ITS1". Lineage: Eukaryota; Fungi. The record is from RNAcentral.